Molecule: non-coding RNA, 662 nt
Organism: Oryctolagus cuniculus (rabbit)
Lineage: Eukaryota; Metazoa; Chordata; Mammalia; Lagomorpha; Leporidae
Source: RefSeq, a predicted model, not a curated record
AGAAGAGACCGUUAGACCUUUUCUCCAUAUUUGUAUUCCACCCAGGUGCCUUAUUUAGUUACAUCUUCCAUUUUUGUUGAGGGAGAGGUUCUGGUGUACCUACAAGGACACAUACCAUCAUAUGCCAUUAGAUACAGCUUCAUUAACUGCCUCUUGAAGACCUCCAUCAGCCCCAAAUCCAGUUCCUCCAGGUCUCUCUGGAACAUCAACAUCAUCUUCCAAGCCAUUGUAGAAUUCUUCAAUCUCACUUUCAUCCUCCAGUGGUUCUUCUAAACUUGGACUCUGGCAUGUGCCACUAUCACUGUUACUUCCACAAGAACUAGAGGAUAAGACAUCAUCUUCAGAGUCUGAAUAUACCUCAGCGCCAUGGAAAAUAUAACGAUUUGGUGGUAAAAACAGAUACUGAUUACCUGAAAUAUGGUAGUAAAAGGGAAAUGUUAGUAAUCAAACUUCUAAGACUAUUUGGUAGCCUAGAAUUAAGAGUAGGUUUCAGCUUUGCCUUUUUUACAAGUGUCACUACUACAGACUAUUACUAUUAAUAGUGUUUUGUUAAAAACAAGCUGUAAACUUAGUAGUCCUGGGUGCAAAUCUUAGUUUGCUACUUGUUUAAAAUUAAGUAUCCAGCCCCGCCUACAUUAGCUACCCAAUUCAUUUUACUGAAG